Molecule: ribosomal RNA, 374 nt
Filed under: uncultured bacterium
Lineage: Bacteria
Description: bacterial SSU rRNA
Rfam family: Bacterial small subunit ribosomal RNA
Source: RNAcentral
ACGAACGCUGGCGGCGUGCUUAACACAUGCAAGUCGAGCGGUAAGGCCCUUUCGGGGGUACACGAGCGGCGAACGGGUGAGUAACACGUGGGUGACCUGCCCUCAGCUCUGGGAUAAGCCUGGGAAACCGGGUCUAAUACCGGAUAUGACUCCAUGACGCAUGUUGUGGGGUGGAAAGCCUUGUGCGGCUGAGGAUGGGCCCGCGGCCUAUCAGCUUGUUGGUGGGGUGAUGGCCUACCAAGGCGACGACGGGUAGCCGGCCUGAGAGGGCGACCGGCCACACUGGGACUGAGACACGGCCCAGACUCCUACGGGAGGCAGCAGUGGGGAAUCUUGCGCAAUGGGCGAAAGCCUGACGCAGCGACGCCGCGUGA